RNAcentral lists this ribosomal RNA (782 nucleotides) under uncultured bacterium. RNAcentral's name for it is "bacterial SSU rRNA". It matches the Rfam family "Bacterial small subunit ribosomal RNA", at positions 8 to 796 of the family's 1533-position model. The record is from RNAcentral.
AGAGUUUGAUCCUGGCUCAGAUUGAACGCUGGCGGCAUGCCUAACACAUGCAAGUCGAACGAGAGUAGCAAUACUCUAGUGGCGGACGGGUGAGGAAUACGUAGGAAUUUGCCCUUAAGUGGGGGAUAGCCCGGGGAAACCCGGAUUAAUACCGCAUGAUCUCGAAAGAGCAAAGUGGGGGAUCGCAAGACCUCACGCUUUUGGAGAAGCCUACGUCGGAUUAGCUAGUUGGUGAGGUAAUGGCUCACCAAGGCGACGAUCCGUAACUGGUCUGAGAGGAUGAUCAGUCACACCGGAACUGAGACACGGUCCGGACUCCUACGGGAGGCAGCAGUGGGGAAUAUUGGACAAUGGGCGAAAGCCUGAUCCAGCAAUGCCGCGUGUGUGAAGAAGGCCUUCGGGUUGUAAAGCACUUUAAGUUGGGAAGAAAAAACUCGUCCUAAUACGAUGAGCCUUGACGGUACCGACAGAAUAAGCACCGGCUAACUCUGUGCCAGCAGCCGCGGUAAUACAGAGGGUGCAAGCGUUAAUCGGAUUUACUGGGCGUAAAGCGUGCGUAGGCGGUUUGCUAAGUCGGUUGUGAAAGCCCUGGGCUUAACCUGGGAAUUGCAGUCGAUACUGGCAGGCUAGAGAACGGUAGAGGGAGGCGGAACUCCAGGUGUAGCGGUGAAAUGCGUAGAUAUCUGGAAGAACACCGAUGGCGAAGGCAACCUCCUGGGCCUGUUCUGACGCUGAGGCACGAAAGCGUGGGUAGCAAACAGGAUUAGAUACCCUAGUAGUCC